RNAcentral lists this unclassified non-coding RNA (387 nucleotides) under soil metagenome. RNAcentral's name for it is "partial contains 5.8S ribosomal RNA, internal transcribed spacer 2, and large subunit ribosomal RNA". The stretch from base 1 to 120 matches the Rfam family "5.8S ribosomal RNA", at positions 35 to 154 of the family's 154-position model. The record is from RNAcentral.
GAUGAAGAACGCAGCGAAAUGCGAUAAGUAAUGUGAAUUGCAGAAUUCAGUGAAUCAUCGAAUCUUUGAACGCACCUUGCACCCUUUGGUAUUCCGAAGGGUAUGCUCGUUUGAGUGUCAUUGUACUCUCACACUUCUAAUUCCUUUCGGGAUUGGGAGCGGUGGACUUGGGUGUUGCUGCUUUAGUUGUGGCUCACCUCAAAUAAGUUAGUGCAACUCUUGGUUGGACAUAGUACGGCGUGAUAAGUGUCUUCGCCGGCGCCUCUGUAAGGAGGGUGGCCGAUCGGGAGCUCUGUGCUUCGAACCGUCUUCGGACAAUCUUUGACAACUUGACCUCAAAUCGAGUAGGACUACCCGCUGAACUUAAGCAUAUCAAUAAGCGGAGGA